CUGGCCUUGACAUACUAGAAACUUUCCAGAGAUGGAUUGGUGCCUUCGGGAAUCUAGAUACAGGUGCUGCAUGGCUGUCGUCAGCUCGUGUCGUGAGAUGUUGGGUUAAGUCCCGCAACGAGCGCAACCCUUUUCCUUAUUUGCCAGCGAGUAAUGUCGGGAACUUUAAGGAUACUGCCAGUGACAAACUGGAGGAAGGUGGGGACGACGUCAAGUCAUCAUGGCCCUUACGGCCAGGGCUACACACGUGCUACAAUGGUCGGUACAAAGGGUUGCUACCUAGCGAUAGGAUGCUAAUCUCAAAAAGCCGAUCGUAGUCCGGAUUGGAGUCUGCAACUCGACUCCAUGAAGUCUGGAAUCGCUAGUAAUCGCUGGAUCAGAAUGCCGCGGUGAAUAUGUUCCC
RNAcentral lists this ribosomal RNA (403 nucleotides) under uncultured bacterium. RNAcentral describes it as "bacterial SSU rRNA". It matches the Rfam family "Bacterial small subunit ribosomal RNA", at positions 975 to 1375 of the family's 1533-position model. The record is from RNAcentral.